GCGUAGCUCAGUGGAUAGAGCGUCUGCCUCCGGAGCAGAAGGUCGUAGGUUCGAAUCCUGUCGCGG
Molecule: transfer RNA, 66 nt
Filed under: Brevibacterium epidermidis
Lineage: Bacteria; Bacillati; Actinomycetota; Actinomycetes; Micrococcales; Brevibacteriaceae
Also listed under: 8 other names
Rfam family: tRNA
About the family: Transfer RNA (tRNA) molecules are approximately 80 nucleotides in length. Their secondary structure includes four short double-helical elements and three loops (D, anti-codon, and T loops).
Source: RNAcentral